UGCGUAGGCGGAUUUUUAAGUCAGUGGUGAAAGCCCGGAGCUCAACUUCGGAACUGCCAUUGAUACUAUUAAUCUUGAAUACAGUUGAGGUGGGCGGAAUGUGUAGUGUAGCGGUGAAAUGCUUAGAUAUUACACAGAACACCGAUUGCGAAGGCAGCUCGCUAAACUGUUAUUGACGCUAAGGCACGAAAGCGUGGGGAGCAAACAGGAUUAGAUACCCUGGUAGUCC
This 229-nucleotide ribosomal RNA is filed under the name uncultured bacterium. RNAcentral describes it as "partial 16S ribosomal RNA". It matches the Rfam family "Bacterial small subunit ribosomal RNA", at positions 568 to 796 of the family's 1533-position model. The record is from RNAcentral.